This 465-nucleotide ribosomal RNA is filed under the name uncultured bacterium. Its description in RNAcentral is "partial 16S ribosomal RNA". It matches the Rfam family "Bacterial small subunit ribosomal RNA", at positions 338 to 795 of the family's 1533-position model. The record is from RNAcentral.
CCUACGGGCGGCUGCAGUGGGGAAUAUUGCGCAAUGGGCGAAAGCCUGACGCAGCGACGCCGCGUGAGGGAUGAAGGUCCUCGGAUCGUAAACCUCCGUUAGCAGGGAAGAACGGUCACUGUGCUAAUCAGCAGUGAAUUGACGGUACCUGCAAAGGAAGCACCGGCUGACUCCGUGCCAGCAGCCGCGGUAAUACGGAGGGUGCGAGCGCUAAUCGGAAUUACUGGGCGUAAAGCGCUCGUAGGCGGUAUGUCAAGUCAAGGGUGAAAUCCCCGCGCUCAACGUGGGAACUGCCUUUGAAACUGGCAGGCUGGAGGGUGGGAGAGGAUAGUGGAAGUCCAGGUGUAGGGGUGAAAUGCGUAGAUAUCUGGAGGAACAUCAGUGGCGAAGGCGGCUAGCUGGCACAUAACUGACGCUGAGGAGCGAAAGCGUGGGUAGCAAACAGGAUUAGAUACCCGAGUAGUC